This 352-nucleotide ribosomal RNA is filed under the name uncultured Pseudomonas sp. RNAcentral describes it as "bacterial SSU rRNA". It matches the Rfam family "Bacterial small subunit ribosomal RNA", at positions 1032 to 1382 of the family's 1533-position model. The record is from RNAcentral. Lineage: Bacteria; Pseudomonadati; Pseudomonadota; Gammaproteobacteria; Pseudomonadales; Pseudomonadaceae.
ACACAGGUGCUGCAGUGGCUGUCGUCAGCUCGUGUCGUGAGAUGUUGGGUUAAGUCCCGUAACGAGCGCAACCCUUGUCCUUAGUUACCAGCACGUUAUGGUGGGCACUCUAAGGAGACUGCCGGUGACAAACCGGAGGAAGGUGGGGAUGACGUCAAGUCAUCAUGGCCCUUACGGCCUGGGCUACACACGUGCUACAAUGGUCGGUACAAAGGGUUGCCAAGCCGCGAGGUGGAGCUAAUCCCAUAAAACCGAUCGUAGUCCGGAUCGCAGUCUGCAACUCGACUGCGUGAAGUCGGAAUCGCUAGUAAUCGUGAAUCAGAAUGUCACGGUGAAUACGUUCCCGGGCCUU